GACGAACGCUGGCGGCGUGCCUAACACAUGCAAGUCGAACGGACAGGCCCUGCUUUUGUGCGGUCCUCUAGUUGCGACCUGGUGAGUAACACUUGAGUACCCUGCCCCUCACUUUGGGAUAUCUUCAUGCCACUGGGGCUCUUACCGGAUAGGAUCUCCUGCUGCAUGGUGGGCGUUGGAAUGUUUCGGCGGUUGGGGAUGGACUCGCGGCUUAUCAGCUUGUUGGUGGGGUAGUGGCUUACCAAGGCUUUGACGGGUAGCCGGCCUGAGAGGGUCACCGGACAAGUUGGGACUGAGAUACGGCCCAGACUACUACGGGAGGCAGCAGAGGGGAGUAUAGCACAAUGGGAGGGAGGAUGGUGCAGCAACGCCGCGUGCGGGAAAACGGGCUGCGGGUUGUAAAGCACUAUCGCCUGUGACGAAGCGUGAGUGACGGUAAUGGGUAAAGAAGCACCGGCUAACUACGUG
RNAcentral lists this ribosomal RNA (468 nucleotides) under uncultured bacterium. RNAcentral's name for it is "partial 16S ribosomal RNA". It matches the Rfam family "Bacterial small subunit ribosomal RNA", at positions 28 to 507 of the family's 1533-position model. The record is from RNAcentral.